RNAcentral lists this long non-coding RNA (379 nucleotides) under Lathyrus oleraceus (garden pea). RNAcentral's name for it is "Pisum sativum (pea) long non-coding RNA (PSAT_LNC013734)". Lineage: Eukaryota; Viridiplantae; Streptophyta; Magnoliopsida; Fabales; Fabaceae. The record is from RNAcentral.
UCAUUUUGUAUCUUUGCCAUGAUCUCUUGGCCCCUAGCGACCGCUUGGAUCAUAUCCAUUAGUUUCCCCAUCUGGGACCUCACUUGAGAUACUUCCUCUUGGAGUGUGGCUUGGUUUUGCUGGAGUUUCUCCAUGACGACUUAUUGAUGUUUUCAUGUAUUGUACCAGAAAGUCAGCUUUAGAGUGUUGUUCUGAUCAAGAAAAGGGUGGAUGGAUGAGUUUUUUUUGUUUUUAUGUUUUUUUUUAAGAUGCAAAUGAUGCAUGAUUUUUUUUGGUUUUUAUGUUAAUGCAAAGCUCUUUGGUUAAACGUGUUUGUUUAUUGCAAGAAAUACUUAACGAUUUACGCUUGUAAUCAAAGAUAAAGGAAAGCACACUAGAG